RNAcentral lists this transfer RNA (85 nucleotides) under Kingella kingae. Its description in RNAcentral is "tRNA-Leu". It matches the Rfam family "tRNA". From Rfam's summary of the family: Transfer RNA (tRNA) molecules are approximately 80 nucleotides in length. Their secondary structure includes four short double-helical elements and three loops (D, anti-codon, and T loops). Lineage: Bacteria; Pseudomonadati; Pseudomonadota; Betaproteobacteria; Neisseriales; Neisseriaceae. The record is from RNAcentral.
GCGGACAUGGCGAAAUUGGUAGACGCACUGGAUUUAGGUUCCAGCGCCGCAAGGCGUGAGAGUUCGAGUCUCUCUGUCUGCACCA